Molecule: long non-coding RNA, 1152 nt
Organism: Panicum virgatum (switchgrass)
Lineage: Eukaryota; Viridiplantae; Streptophyta; Magnoliopsida; Poales; Poaceae
Exons: 3
Source: RefSeq, a predicted model, not a curated record
GAUUAUAGAAUUUUCUCAUAUCAUUUAUAUAUUUUAAUUUAAAAUAUGGCAUUUAUGUACUUUCUUCAUAUUUUGUGGUAUAAAUUUGAUUAACUCUUUACCUAAGCUGUUUGUUCUGUUUGAGACUUUAGCUGUGGGUCUUCACAAAGUAGAAAACCUCCUGCUGUUCUCUCCUCUAGGUUUCAGGCUUUUAGUGAGCAUAUGAAGGUUUGGCUUUGGUCACCUCUUGUGCCUGUAUUUGCAACAGCAGCAGCUUGUGCCUGUACUACCGAUCUGUUUUUAGAGCAUAGUUCCUUCCUGUGUGUUUUCCAUCUGCAAGUUCAGUGAUAUUAUAUGCCUCUGUUUUGUAGGUACUUUGUGAUAGGCUUGGAAUAGAAACAACUGCAGAAAUCACUGUAAUUGAAGUCUUACAACCAAACGUGUAUACGCAACCAAGUGAACAGCUUGACUGGUGCCGCCAUCCUUGAAAAAUCUGCUACUGCUGCAUCGAAGGGUAGUGACCAUCCUUCACCUUCAGAUGUUUUCUGGCUGAUCCAUUUAAAAGCGACCCUCCAAUACCGAUAACAGGUGUGUUUCAAGUUGCUUAUGACAUGUUAGAUCAAUUGGCGGGCUACAUUUAUGAAGCCUAAAUCUGUUGCCUGGGUGCAUGGUGCCUUCCGGACAGGUACCUGAACUGAUCCCUAAAUUCGAAUGGCCUCCAUGUUAGCCAUAACUAAGAAGCGCAUUAUUAUGUCAUAAUCAUUAUCAUUAAGGAAAGCAUCUGCUUUGAAUUCUAGAACUCCGCAGGGUGAUACAAAGGAACAAGCAUUACUCCCUGUAUGAUUGUUUGAAGCAUUGAGUUUUGUAUUUGCAUUAUUCAAUUCAGAGCCCAUGCGCGAGGGUAGGGGCGCGGGAUAGACGCCGGGCGAAGGCAUGGGGCGGAACGACCUGAGGAAUACGAAGCGCGCGGGGAAGACGAAGAGACAAGGUGCAGGCACUGGGUAGAACGAUACCAUCGGCGGCGGCUCAUGUUAAUUUGUGUGGACCCAGGCUCUCCGCAUAGUCUAACGCGAGAGUGCUCAGUGCUUAGUGGCAUUCCAAUUAUGAGCAUACCAACUUAUAGCACGCGCGUGCCGCGAGGGCAUUGUUACUAGUAAUAUAUAAAAUGCGUAC